Molecule: long non-coding RNA, 30778 nt
Filed under: Triticum aestivum (bread wheat)
Lineage: Eukaryota; Viridiplantae; Streptophyta; Magnoliopsida; Poales; Poaceae
Description: long non-coding RNA (TAES_LNC009158)
Source: RNAcentral
GAACCCAAGCCCAAGCCGAUGCCAAAACCAAAGCCCAACCCCUGCUCCAAACCAAAGCCAGGUCCUAAGCCCGAGCCAAUGCCGAAACCCGAACCAAAGCCGGAGCCCAAGCCUAAACCUGAACCGAAACCGAAGCCGCCUCCUAAGUGCAAACCACCGACAGCUCACAGUUGAUGGGAUACUUAUAUACGACAGUUCAUGGAGGAGACCCCAUACGAAGCCACACUAUGCUAUUUCUAGAAUAAGUGGUGUAAUAUUCCCUGUAUUCCAGUUAUUUCUAUUGUUCCAUGCAUGUGUGAUGAGUAUUAGUACUCUGUAUUUUUUUUUGCUUGUUGGUAUAUGUUCAUCUACUUUGUAUGUGACUCGACUCCUUGUUCUUCUGACUAUCUACGCAUGAUUGUAUUCAUUCACAUGAAUGAGCUAUUUUGUCAAUGAACUGUAGCCUGUCUUCUCUAUGGUGUGCGUGUACGUGUCUGGUGUUCUAGAUGUAUAAAGUGUACUCAUACGCCAGACAGCGGCCUUGUUCUCUUCCCUUCACCUAUGAACUAAAUCCCGACCGAGUGCGUUAGUAUAUAUGCCCAAGCUCUGUGAGUGAGCUAGCUCCGCUGCUGGUUAUACUAGGUAAACGUCACACACAUUGCUACGAAAGUUUAUCUAUACCCCUAUAUAGUAUGCGAAUAACUUUAAAAGUUGGUCGUUGGAUGAAGCCAAUCCGACGGUACAGAGAUGGCAAAUCCGAGCACUACUGGUCGUUGGAUAUCAUUUACAUUCCACCAAAUUCUGUCACAUGUACAAUCUAGAAGACUUCAUGGUUGAACUUAAGCAUAAUGCACAAACCUCAAAACACAAGCACUUCUCUUUUGUUCUAUAGAAUCUUCCAUAUCUUAAUUGCCCAAACUUUUUUUUCUAAAUGAAUUGUCACUUUUUGUUUUUACUUUAUGCUUUACAAUGCACAAUUUCAUGAAUCUUAAAAUAGAUUUUUUUUAUAAAACUAAUUGAUUUUAGAAGAGACGAACUAUAAGAAUUAAACGAACAUCUACAUCAUGCAUAUAUGACUCAAAGAUUACAUGCUAUAUUGUGGUAUUUAUUCAUAGUUUGGUUACCAAAUCUCCUGCGUGCAAUGUGCGUGUACCUUACUAGUAGCAAAGAAAUUAUGAAAAAUAGCAUAUAUGGGAAUAAUACCACACAACAUUCUCACCAUAUGACGAUAGAAAACCUCAUUAAAAGGCAAAGGGGUUGCUUGCCCGACACCCUCUACACUCUUUUCUCGACCGUUUUUUUUCUGGGUUUGCUCUAUUAUUCAAUGAAAGAAACCUUUCACCGGUUUUCUAAAUUUAAAACAUUCAUGAAUAUGAAAAUGUUCACAAAUUAGCAGAAUACAGGUUUGAAAAAAUUAAAUUAAUUCAAAAACAUUGAAGACUUCAAAAAAUCAAAAAUUCUUUUUUUUUUGAAUUUGAGAAAAGUGAAUUAAAAAAAGAUUGUAAAUUUAAAAAUAAAACUUGCGAAUAUGAAAAAAUGUUCAAAAAUUGAAAAAAUGUUCAUGAAGUUUAAAAUAAAAAUAAAAAAUCCAACAAAAAACUGAAACAAGGCAGAAAAGUAAAAAGAAAAACCUGGCCGAAUUUUCCAGAACCAAAGUUCACCCAUAAGUUCUGGAAGCUUCUGGGAGUGAGCUUCCGCUCACGUAAGCGCCUUUUACGAUCUAUCAAAGGAAGAGGUGUGUGCACUUUCUACCAAUAACUUAGAAACCAGUGCUAAAUAACAUAUUUCCACUUUUAACGAGGGGUAGAACGGAAUUCGACUACAGAGCCACGAUAUGUGCCAAUCCCAACAUUUUUUUUCUAGCAAACACGUUUUUUCUAUAGGGGCACACGUCUCACCGCCAACGAACGGGUUUUUUUGUUUUUAUUUCCAUUUUUUCUCAUUUUCGAGAAAAAUUUAUAUAAAAUAUAUGGAUUUGUACUUUUUUUACAAGUGAUCAUGUAGUUUAAUAAGUGUUCAUGUACUUAAAAAAUGUUCAUCGCUUAUUUGUAAAAUGUUUUCAAAAUAUCAAACAUUUUGCAAAUACACAUAAAAUUAAUUUUUCCAAAAAUACACACUGUGAACAUUCUGAACAAUACAGGAUGAAGAUUUCUUUUAAUACAUGAUGAACCAUAGAAAUAACAAUAUUUUCUGAAAAUACAAAAUGAUUUUUUUAAUCCGUGGUAAUUUUUAUAUACACAGUAAGUAUUUUGUUCAUACAUGAUGAAUAUUUUGUAAAAACAUGAGUGAACAUUGCCCGACGCCGGUGAGGGAGGGGCGAUGAUGGUUGUGCAUUUUCAGCUUGAUCGAGUGAUUUUAUACAUCACUAGAUGGUCUAUGAACCUGAAUGUAUGUUCUGUUACUUCUGAUGUUCUUAUACUGACAUGGCAGUUGAUAAAUAGAUCUAAAGAAUUUUGUAAAACAAUAAGAUAAAUGUUCAACUUGUCUUAAUAAUUGUUCCUGAGAUUUAAAAAAUAUAUUCACAUUGUUCCGAAAACCAGUACAUUUCAAAAAGAAUCAUAUGUUUAGAAAAUUGUUCAUGGCAAUAUUAAAAAUGUUCAGGAAAUAUAAAAAAUGUUUUAUUACAGUUUAUAAAAAUACUUGUGGUAUAUAAAAAUUGUUCAUCAUGUUUUAUAAAACGUACAAACAUGUAUUGGAAAAAUAUUCUAUGUGUAUUAAAAAAAUGAUUAAUAUUUUGAAAACAAUCAACGUGUAUUUGAAAUACGGAAAAUGAAAAACAAAACAUGAAAAAAAGAACAGAAAAGUAAAAUAAGAAAACAAAAAUGAAAAACCUAAACAAACCAGAUAAAGAAAACAGAAAACAAUUUGGAUAAAACGUUCUGAAAAUCGCAUGAAACAAACCAAUGCUACACUGCCUCCACCGCUACUGGGCCACAGCCCGCACCGCAUCACCAAAGGUGAGCGCCUCGCGGUAUGUAGAGACAUAGCAUUUGCGCAAAACGACCGCACGCAUUGAACAAACUGUUGGCUAGCUAGUUUAGCUAGUUAUUAGAAUGACUUGUAACUUUAUUCAAACUCAACCAAAUUGUAGGUACAAUGCUUUGGAUCAUAGAUACGAGAGAUUGCAAAAUAACUUCUAUAACUAAGAAUUACAAUGAAACCCUCUUGAGUAAAAAUAUGAUAAACGAAAAAAAAAAACAUUACUCCCUCUGUACCACAAUAUAAGACGUUUUUGCAAGCUAGUUUAGCUUGCAAAAACAUCUUAUAUAUAUUGUGGGACGGAGGGAGUAGCUCAUAUAAUCCUCACUCCUUCCGAAUAUAUGGCGGUGCUAAACUCGGCAACCCCAUUCGUUUUAGAGCUCCGGCGUGGUGAAGCUCACGCACGAGGUGCACGGUCCGGCCAGUUCCUUUCCAGAGACCUUUGCUUUCCAUUGUGAAUGAACUGAUCAACUGAAGCGUUUGCUUUGUACACUUUGUAUUGCAUUGCGCUAACGUGUACACGGUCCAUCUUGAUUUCUAAAUGAUGGCCGGUCACAUGGACGUGUGAGCACGGGAUUGACAAGGCAACUAACACAAUUCUAUUACUACGAGGAGGCAACUAACAGAGUAAAAAUAUUGCUACUCACCCUACUAUCAUCACAGAGACACACGCAAAAUCCAGCUCUGCUUAUUAACACCUCUACCUACGUAGUACUAGGUUGCUUCAUUUGUAAUUAACCAAUAUAGCUCCAUUGCCAUGUUACGCAGCGAGUAAAUAAACAUUACUCCCUCUGUUCUGAUUUACUCGUCAUGGUUUUAGUUCAAAUUUAAACUAAAACCACAGCGAGUAAAUCAGAACGGAGGAAGUACUUAUCAGUCCAGCUAACUAGCUGCAAUCCUAAUUAAUGCAGCCUUCGGAUCUGCUUUGUUUCACCCAGCCUAUAAAACCACACAAUAUGUACCUCCAGUUCUGCACACAACACACACGCGCGCACACACACAAAGCACAGCAGCUAGCUGCAAGCACAAGAAGGAGGCAGCAAUGGCGAGGCAUCGCCUCCUUGCCGUGCUCCUCAUCGGGAUAGUUGCAGCCUCCGCCUUCAACCAAGCAGCUGCGGCUGGCCGAGGCCUUGCUGUCGUCGAGAAAUUUGCAGAGCUAGAGCCAAAGCCAGAACCCAAACCAGAGCCAAUGCCCAAACCUAUGCCACACACAGAGCCAGAGCCAUGCAAACCUGAACCGACGCCCAAACCCAAACAAAAGCCCGGACAGAAGCCUGAACCAAAACCCAAGCCCAAACCGAUGCCAAAACCGAAGCCCGAGCCGUGCUCCAAACCAAAGCCGGGGCCUAAGCCUGAGCCGAUGCCAAAACCCGAACCAAAGCCAGAGCCCAAGCCUGAACCUGAACCGAAACCGAAGCCGCCUUCAAAGUGCAAACCACCGACAACUCACAAUUGAUGGGAUACUUAUAUAUGAGAGUAGUUGGAGGAGACCCCGCACGGAGCCACAAUGUGCUAUUUCUAGAAUAAGUGGUGUAGUAUUCCCUGUAUUCCAUUUCUUUUUAUUUUUCCAUGCGCGCGUGAUGAGUACUAGUACUCUGUAAUUACUAUUUGGUUGUUGGUAUAUGUUCAUCUACUUUGUAUAUGACUCGACUCAUUGUUCUUUUGAGUAUCUACGCAUGAUUGUAUUCAUUCACAUGAAUUAGCUAUUUUGUUAGAGGACUGCAGUCUAUGUUUUUUUUGUAUGGGUUGCAAUCUCGGUUAUUUUCUCUAUGGGAUUGUUUCAUAUUAUGUGGUCUUUUUNNNNNNNNNNNNNNNNNNNNNNNNNNNNNNNNNNNNNNNNNNNNNNNNNNNNNNNNNNNNNNNNNNNNNNNNNNNNNNNNNNNNNNNNNNNNNNNNNNNNNNNNNNNNNNNNNNNNNNNNNNNNNNNNNNNNNNNNNNNNNNNNNNNNNNNNNNNNNNNNNNNNNNNNNNNNNNNNNNNNNNNNNNNNNNNNNNNNNNNNNNNNNNNNNNNNNNNNNNNNNNNNNNNNNNNNNNNNNNNNNNNNNNNNNNNNNNNNNNNNNNNNNNNNNNNNNNNNNNNNNNNNNNNNNNNNNNNNNNNNNNNNNNNNNNNNNNNNNNNNNNNNNNNNNNNNNNNNNNNNNNNNNNNNNNNNNNNNNNNNNNNNNNNNNNNNNNNNGAAGAGAAGGCCUCCCUAAAUUGCAGCACACAUAUGAAAUGUAUAUAGUAUGCGCGUAUGUGUCUGGUGUUCUAGAUGUAUAAAGUGUACUCACACGCCACACAGCGGUUUUGUUCUCUACCCUUCGCCUAUGAACUAAGUCCCGACCAGGUGCGUUAGUAUUUAUACCCAGGCUCUAUGAGUGAGCUGGCUCCAUUGCUAGUUAUACUAGGUAAACGUCACAUACAUUGCUACGGAAAUUUAUAGCAAUGAAAUUUAAAAAAAUACCAUAUAUGUGAAUAAUACUACACAACAUUCUCAACAUAUGACAAUAGAAAACCUAGAUGUAACUGGAGGGUGGAUGCAUGUUAUAUUGUCUUGCAACCUUCAAGUUUAAUUAUUUGUUGUUGAAAGAUAAUAAAUAGUAAAAAAAUAAUAAGGUUAACAGCUUGCGUGUGUUUGAUUAUGUAGAGGGCUUGCAUAUGAUGGAAAGUGAAAAGUCUAAUGAUUACAUGCACCCUUGAUGAUGUAGAGGACUUGCAUGUGAUGAAAAAUGGUAAGUGAAAGUUGAUUGGUUGCAUGUCCUUCAUGAUGUGAUUAAUUUGCAUGUGCAUUUAGACUUACUUAGAUAUAUAGGAUAUGUGUGUGAAAGGUAACUGCACCCCCUGGUCAAGAUUAGUGGCGGAGCUACCCAAAAAUUGUUGGGCAGGUCAAGGUGGCCCAUCCUAAAGGAAACACGUUUUUCUCUCUCAAAAGGCCCAAGUUUACCUAUACUUGGCUAUGGGCUGGGCCGGCUAUGGCCCAUCUGGCCUUGUUGUAGCUCCAACAGUGGUCAAGACUAUCAAGAAAAGGCACCAUGAAAAUUAUAAUAACAGAUUUUCUCUUACUCAAUUCGCAACAAGAAAAAUCUCCCAGUGAUAGUGCUACGCAACAUUCGAGAGACCAUAAUAAUCUCUCACCCAUCCCAUGGUGCUGGCAGGGUCAACUCUAUAAUUUUGAGAGCGCUUGUGUGAAAUUGGCAAAUUGAUAGUCUUUUUCUUUUCUUUAUUGCGCAUGAAAACUCCUUUUAAGCAACAUUAUAGUAACCCUAAAACUGACAAGGAAAGUAAAUAAAGUACAUAAGUAGAAUUUUAGAAAUCAGAGCACUAACAUUUAACAUGCUUCGACGAAUGGGUGGCUCUGGUAAUAUGGCUAUGGGUACGAGGAAUGAGAGGCCUAGAGUGACAAGCUCAUGCUUCGCUGUCACAGAUGUCUGAGGAGGAGGCGAGACGCUCACGUCACCAAGCUACGAGACAAACCUGUGAAGAUGAAAAUCACGAAUUACAAUUAGGAGAACUGGUGACGCCAUGUGUCCGUGUCGCACGCCGAUUAUGAUUCUUUUCCUUUUUAUGGACCAGUUCAACCAACGGCUAAAGGCCUAAAGCUUGCUUCUUGGAGAGCGUGUAUACCUCAAUUUUAGGAAAGCUCCUUCUCAGUGCUUAUAGUGCUCAUUAGUGCCGCAGCGCACAAGAGCUCGCGCGCAUGGGUCAUCGCAUUAAAAGGCAAAGCGGUUGCUUGCUUGGCCACCCACUACACACUUUUUUUGCAAGCCUUUUUUUAAGGAUUCUCUGUUAUUCAAUGAAAAAAAUCCCACCGGUUUUCUAAAUUUAAAAAUUCAUGAAUAUGAAAAUUUUCAAAAAUUUGAAAAACAAUUACAGUUUGAAGAGAAUGAAUUGAAAAUUUUUGAAAAUUUUAAAAAAAAUCACAAAUUCAUUUUUUGUGAAUUUGAAAAAAGGUGAUUCAAAAAAGUUUGUGAAAUUUGAAAAAAAUCUCAUGAAUAUGAAAAAAUGGUCACAAAAUUGAAAAACUUCAAAAAUUUGAAAAAAAUGUUAGAGAAGUUUAAAAAUAAAAUAAUUAGAAAAAGAGAAAAAAAAAGGCAGAAGAGUAAAAAAGAAAAAUCAGGAUGAAAGUUUCCAUAACCAAAGUUGGCCCAUAAGCUUCUGGAAGCUUCCUAAAACCGACGGGAGGGAGCUUCUGCUCAUGUAAAUGCCAUAGAUUGGGCAGCCCUUUUACAAUCUAUUGAAGCAAGAGGUGCAUGCGCUUUUUAUCAAUAACUUGGAAACCAAUGGUAAAUAGCAUAUCUCCACUUUUAGCGCGGCGUAGAACGGAAUUCGACUACAGAUCCACAGUAUGGGCCAAUCCCAACAUGUUUUUCUAACAAGCUACUUUUUCUAUUGGGGCAGAUGUCUCACUCUAACGAGUAGGAUUUUUUUGUUCUUAUUUUCACAUUUUUCUUUUCAUUUUUUCUAAUUUUCUAGAAAACGCUCUAUAACAUAUAUGGGUGAUCAUAUAAUUUAAUAAGUUUUCAUGUACUUUAAAAAUGUUCAUCACCUAUUUAUAAAACGUUUUCAAAAUAUGAAACAUUUUUAAAAUACAAUUACAAUUACAAAAAGUGUUCAUAUUUUUCUGAAAAUAUACACUAUGAACAUUUUGAACAAUACGGAUGAAGAUUUAUUUUAAUACAUGAUGAACCUUUGUAAUCACAAUAUUUUCUAAAAAUACACAAAGAUUUUUAUAUACACAAUAAAUAUGUUGUUCAUACACGAUGAACAUUUUGUAAAAACAUGAGUGAACAUUGCCCAACUCCGAUGAGGAAGGGGCAAUGAUGGUAGUACCCCUUCGGCUUGCUCGACUGAUUGUAGACAUCGCUAGGUGGUCUAUGGACCUGAACAUAAGUUCUAUUACCUCUGGUGUUCUUGUAUUGACAUGAUGGUUGAUAAGUAGAUCGGAUUUUUUCGAUAUUUUUUUAAGAAAAAUGUUCAACUUGUCUUACAAAUUGUUCCGAAGAUUAAGAAAAAUAUAUUCGCAUUUUUUAAAAAGAACAUUGCAUUUCAAUUUUUUCACAUGUUUAGAAAUUGUUCAUGGCAAUAUUGAAAUAUAAAAAAUGUGUUAUUACAGUUUUGGAAAAAUGUUUGUGGUAUAUAAAAAUUGUUCAUCAUGUAUUUAUAAAACAAUCAAACUUGUAUUAAAAAAUAUUAUAUGUAUAUUUUAAAAAUGUUUAUUAUUUUUAAUAUUUUCAAUAUGUAUUUGAAAAUAGGAAAAUGAAAAACAAAACAUGAAGCAAUGAACAGGAAAAGUAAAAGAGAAACCAAAAAUGAAAAACCUAAACAAACCCAAUAAAGAAAACCCAGACAAAACGUUAUGAGAUCACAAGAAACAAACAAAUGCUACACACCUCCACCACUACUGGGCCACAGCCCACACCGCAUCGCCAGAGGUGAGCGCCUCGCGGUAGGCAGAGACAUAGCAUUUGCGUAAAAUGACCGCACGAAUUGAACAAACUGUCGGCUAGCUAGUUAUUAGAAAGACAUGUAACUUAAUUCAAACUCAACAAAAUUAUAGGUACAAUGCUUUGGAUCAUAGAUACAAGAAAUUAUAAAAUAACUCAUAUAACUAAGAAUUACAAUGAAACCCUCUUGAGUCAAAAUAUGAUAAACAGAGGAAAAAACAUUAGCACAUAUAAUCUUUACUCUAUCCGAAUAUAUGGCGGUGCUAAACUCAGCAACCCCAUUAGUUUUGGAGCUCCGGUUUCAUGGAGCCUUUUUUGGAAAAUCAUACAUUAAUAACUAAAACACGCGCGUGCAUGAGACUGGAGAAUGAGGGGCAUGCAACAUCAAAAUAGGUUAGUUUGUCGGAAUUAUAAGAUUUAAUAAUUUGAGACAAUAUGCAUAAUAAAACCCUCACUAGUGCAGUGUCGAAAACGCUCUUAUAUUGUGGGAUGGAGGAGUACAAUUUUGAAACUGUGCCCAGUAUAUCGGGCCAGAGGGAGAGCUUGAGAAAACACUGAGUCAGCGAAAACUCAGGUGUACGAAGCAGACCAUGGAGCCUUGGGGCUUCUUAACAGGUGGUCCUCACGCACGAGGUGGCUGCACAAUUGGGCCAGUUCCUUACCGGAGACCUUUCCUUUCCAUUCAUUGUGAAUUGAACUGAAGCGAUUGCUUUUUACUUUGUAUUGCAUUGCACAAACGUGUACACUGUCUAUCUUAAUUUCUAAAUGAUGGCCGGUCACAUGGACGUGUGAGCACGGGAUUGACAAGGCAACUAACACAAUUCUACUACUACGAGGAGGCAACUGAUAAUAUUGUUACUCACCCUACUAUCAUCAGAUGGAGACACACAAACAUAAUCCACUGGACAAGGCAACUAACAUAAUUUCUAUUACCACGAGGUUGCAACUAAUAGAGUAAAAAUAUUGUUACUCACAUGUACUAUCAUCAAAGAGACACACACGCAGAAUCCAGCUGUGCGUAUUAACACCUCUAGCUACCUCCGUAGGUCGCUUCAUUUGUAAUCAACUAAUCAACCAAUAUAACUCCAUUGACAUGUUACCCAGUACUACUUGUCACUCCAGCUACCUAGCUGCAAUUCUAAUUAAUGCACCCUCCAGAUCUGUUUUGUUUCACCCAGCCUAUAAAACCACACAGUAUGUAUCUCCAGCUCUCCACACAACACACACGCGCGCACACACAAAGCGCAGCAGGUUCAACACUAGCUACAAUCACAAGUAGGCAGCAAUGGCGAGGCAUCGCCUCCUCGCCGUGCUCCUCAUCGGCAUAGUUGCAGCCUCCGCCUUCAACCAAGCAGCUGUGGCUGGCCGAGGCCUUGCUGCCAUCGAGAAGUUUGCAGAGCUAGAGCCAAAGCCAGAACCUAAACAAGAGCUAAUGCCCAAACCUAUGCCACACACAGAGCCAGAGCCAUGCAAACCUGAACCGACGCCCAAACCCAAACCAAAGCCCGAACAAAAGCCUGGACAUAAGCCUGAGCCAGAACCCAAGCCCAAGCCGAUGCCAAAACCGAAGCCCGAGCCCUGCUCCAAACCAAAGCUGGUGCCAAAACCCGAACCAAAGCCAGAGCCCAAGCCUGAACCUGAACCGAAACCGAAGCCGCCUCCAAAGUGCAAACCACCGACAACGCACAAUUGAUGGGAUGCUUAUAUAUGAGAGUUGAUGGAGGAGACCCCGCACGGAGCCACACUGUGCUAUUUCUAGAAUAAGUGGUGUAGUACUCCUUGUAUUCCAUUUCUUUCUAUUUUUCCAUGCAGAGUACGUACUAGUACUCUGUAAUUACUAUUUGCUUGUUGGUAUAUGUUCAUCUACUUUGUAUGUGACUGACUCGUUGUUCUUUUGAGUAUCUACGCAUGAUUGUAUUCAUUCACAUCAAUGAGCUAUUUCGUUAGUGGACUGCAGUCUAUGUUGUUUUCUCUAUGGGGUUGUUUCAUAUUAUGUGGUCUUUUUUGGGGGGAAAGACGAUGUCAACAAAAAAGAAGAAAAUGACUCCCUAAAUAGCAGCACACAUAUGAAGUGUAUAGUGUGCGCGUACGUGCCUGGUGUUCUAGAUGUAUAAAGUGUACUCACACGCAAGACAACAGCCUUGUUCUCUACCCUUCACCUAUGAGCUAAGUCCCGACCGUGUGCGUUAGUAUUUAUGCCCAGGCUGACUCCGCUGCUGGUUAUACUAGCUAAACUUUGCACACAUUGCUACGAAAAUUUAUAGCAAUGAAAUUUUGAAAACUAGCAUAUAUGGGGAUAAUACUACACAACAUUCUCACCAUAUGUCAAUGAAAACCUACAUGUAAUGGAGGGUGGAUGCAUUUUAUAUUGUCUUGUGACCUUAUAGUUUAAUUAUUUCUUGCUGAACAUAAAUAGUAAAAAAUAAUGAGGUGAAGAGCUUUCAUGUGUUUGAUGAUGUGGAGGACUUGCAUAUGAUGAAAAGUGAAAAGUUGAAUGAUUACAUGCACGCUUGAUGAUAUGGAGGACUUGCCUGUGAUGAAAAGUGGUAAGUGAAAGUUUAUUGGCUGCAUGCCCUUCAUAAUGUGAUUGACAUGCAUGUGUAUUUAAAUGGGAUGACUUACUUAGAUACUAUAUAGGAUAUGUUUGAAAGAUAACUACACCCCCUAGGUCAAGAUUACCAAGAAAAACACCAUGGAAAUUAUUAUUAAUAGAUUUUCUCUUACUCAAUUCGCAACAAGAAAAAACACUCAACGACAAUGCUAUGCAACAUAAGAGAGACCACAAUAAUCUCUCACCCACCCCAUGGUACUGCCAGGGUAGGCUCUAUGAUUUUAAGAGCCCUUGGGUGAAGUUGGCGAAUUGAUCAUCCUUAUUUUUUCCUUUUUCAACACUCAACAAAUCUUUUUUAAGAAACAUUAUAGUAACCCUAAAACUGACGAGGAAAGUAAAUACAUAAAUUGAACUUUGAAAUUAGAGGUCUAACAUUUAACAUGCUUCGAGGAAUGGGUGGCACUGAUAAUAUGGCUAUGGAUGCAUGCAAUGAGAGAUCUAGAGAGUGACAAGCUCGUGCCUUGUUGUCCUUGACGUAUGAGGAGGCGGCGAGACUCACGUCGUCAAGCUUCGAGACAAACCUGCAACGACGAAGAUCGUGAAUUGCAAUAAGGAGAACUGGUGAUGCCAUGUGUCCAUGUCGCAUACCGAUUGUGAUUCUUUUCCUUUUGAUGGACUAGUUCAACCAACGGCUAAAAGCCUAAAGCUUGCUUUUAGGAGAGCGUGUAUACCUCACUUUUAGUAGAGCUCCUUCUCAACGCUUAUAGCGCUCGCUGCAGCGCACAUGUGCUCGUGCAAAUGGGUCUUCCCAUUAAUUGGUAAAGCAGUUGCUCGCCCGACCGCCCACUACACUCCUUUUUUGCCGCCUUCUUUUCCUGGUAUUGCUCUAUAUAUUAUUCAAUGAAAGAAAACUUCCACCGGGUUUACAAAUUUAAAAAAAUCAUGAAUAUGAAAAGGUUCACAAAUGUGAAAAAAUACGGAUUUGAAAAUAUAAUUUAUUCAAAAACAUGGACAACUUCUAAAAAAUCACAAAUUCAUUUUUUGCGAAUUCGAAAAGGUGAAUUAAAAAAUUGUAAUUUCAAAAAACUCGCAAAUAUGAAAAAAUGUUCACAAAAUAAAGAGUUCAUGAAUUUAAAAAUAAUAAAAGAAUGCAAACAGAAAAGAGAAACAAGGCGGAAAAGUAAAAAAGAAAAACCAGGCAGAAAGUUUACAGAACCAAAGUUGACCCAUAAGCUUUUGGAAAAUUCCUAAAAACGGGAGGGAGCUUCCGCUCACGUAAACCCCAUAGAUUGGCCACCCCUUAUACGAUCUAUUGAAGGAAGAGGUGUAUGCGCUUUCUACCAAUAACUUAGACACUAGUGCUAAAUAGCAUAUUUCCACUUUUAGCGAGGGGUAGAACGAAAUUUGACUAUAAAGCCACGGCAUGGGCCAAUCGCAACAUUUUCUUUCUAACAAACAAGAUUUUUCUAUAGGGGCACACGUCUCACUCUAAUGAGCGUGUUUUUUUCAUUCUUAUUUUCACUUUUUUUUCUCAUUUUCUAGAAAACGUUCUAUAAAAUAUAUGGGUUUGUACUUUUGGUAAGUGAUCAUGUAGUUUAAUAAGUGUAAAUGUACUUAAAAAUGCUCAUCAUGUAUUUAUAAAACAUUUUCAAAAAAAUCAAACAUUUUUCAAAUACACAUAGAACUGAAAAGUGUUCAAAUAUUUUCCGAAAAUAUACACUGUGAACAUUUUGAACAAUAUAGGAUGAAGAUUUCUUUCAAUACAUGAUGAACCUUUCAAAUAACAAUAUUUUUCUAAAAUUGCACAAUGAUUUUUUUAAAUCCAUGAUAAUGUUUAAAUAUACAAUAUUAUUUUCAUACACGACGAACAUUUUGAAAAAACAUGAGUGAGCAUUGCCCAACUCCCAUGAGGGAGGGGCGAUGAUCGUGGUGCACUUUCGGCUUGGUCGAGUGAUUGUAGACAUCGCUAGGUGGUCUAUGGAACUGGAUGUAAGUUAUGUUACUUCAGGUGUUCUUAUACUGACAUGAUAGUUGAUAAAUAGAUCGAAAGUUUUUUUUUGUAAAAAAUAAAAGAAACAUUUCGAACUUGUCUUAAAAAUUGUUCCUGAGAUUUUGAAAAUAUAUUUGCCUUGUUCCAAAAAAUUACAUUUUCAUUUUUCACAUGUUUAGAAAAUUGUUCAUGGCAAUACUAAAAAUGUUUCAUUAUAAAAAAAGUUCUUACAUUUUUUAUAAAAAUGUUCAUAGUAUAUCAAAAAAUUUCAUCAUGUAUUUAUAAAACGUUCAAAUAUGUAUUGGAAAAAUAUUAUAUGUGUAUUUUUAAAAAUAUUUUGAAAAAAAAUCAGCAUGUAUUUGAAAUAUGGAAAAAUGAAAAAGAAAAUACAAAACAAAACAUGAAAUAAAUGAAGAAAAGUAAAAGGGGUAUGAAAAUGAAAAACCUAAAGAAACGCGAUAAAGAAACCAGAAGAAAAAACCCAAACAGAAUGUUUCAAAAAUCGCACGAAACGAACCAAUGCUACGCCUCCACCGCGACUGGGCCACAGCCCGCACACCAUUGCCAGAGGUGAGGGCCGCAUUUGCGCAAAAUGACCGCACACAUUGAACAAACUGUCAGCUAGCUAGUUAUUAGAAUGACAUGUAACUUUAUUCAAACUCAACAAAGUUACAGGUACAAUGCUUUGAUCAUGCAUACAAGAAAUUAUAAAAUAAUUCCUAUAACUAAGAAUUACGAUGCAACCCUCUUGAGUAAAAGUAUGACAAACGGAGGAAAAAAAUAUUAGCACAAUAUAAUCCUUGCUCUAUCCGAAUAUAUGGCGGUACAAAACUCAGCAACCCCGUUCGUUUUGGAGCUCCGGCUCCAUGAGGCCUUUUUUGGAAAAUCAGACAUGCAUAACUAAAACAUACGUGAUCUAACAUAUCUUAUAUUAGUUUACAGAGGGAGUACAUGCAUAAGUAAAACAUACGCAUGCAUGAGACUGGAGAAUGAGGGGCAUGCAUCGUCAAAAUAGGGUAGUUUGUCGGACAGUUAUAAGAUUUAAUAAUUUGGGGCAAUAAGCAUGAUAAAUCCUCAUUGGUAUCUAUAAUUUUGAAACUGUGCCCAGUAUACCGGGCCAGAGGGAGUGCUUGAGAAACACUUUUUACAAAAAGAAGGAUAACCCCUGAUCUAUGCAUAAGCAAUGCACACAGCCACUUUUAUUAUAUUAUUCAACAAAAUCUGACAAAACUAGUACAUGGACAACAUAAAGCCAUCUUCAUGGCAACCACUUGAGAAAACACUGAGUCCGUGAAAACUCGGUCGACGAAGCAGUCCAGGGAGCCUUGGGGCUUCCAACAGGUGGUGAAGCUCCCGCACAGGGUGUACGAUCGGGCCAAUUCCUUUCCAUUGUGAAUUGAACUGAAGUGAUUGCUUUUUUUUUACUUUGUAUUGCAAUUGCACUAACAUAAUUCUAAUGAUGGACGGUCACAUGGACGUGUGAGCACGGGAUUGACAAGCCAACUAACAUAAUUCUAUUACUACGAGGAUGCAACUAAUAGACUAAAAAUAUUGUUACUCACCCCCGCUGUCAUAACAAAGAGACACACACGCAAAAUCCAGCUGUGCUUAUUAACACCUCUACCUACCUAGGUUGCUUCAUUUGUAAUCAACUAAUCAACGAAUAUAACUCCAUUGACGUGUUAUGCAGUACUCUUUCACUUCAGCUAGCUAGCUGCAAUUCUAAUUAAUGCAGCCUCCAGAUCUGCUUUGUUUCACCAAGCCUAUAAAACCACACAAUAUGUAUCUCCAGUUCUCCACACAACACACACACACACACACACACACACACAAAACACAGCAGGUGCAACACUAGCUAGCUGUAAGCAUAAGAAGUAGGCAGCAAUGGCGAGGCAUCGCCUCCUCGUCGUGCUCCUCAUCGGGAUAGUUGCAGCCUCCGCCUUCAACCAAGCAGCUGCCGCUGGCCGAGGCCUUGCUGUCGUUGAGAAGUUUGCAGAGCUAGAGCCAAAGCCAGAGCCCAAACCAGAACCAAUUCCCAAGCUUACGCCACACCCAGAGCCAGAGCCUUGCAAACCUGAACCAAUGCCCAAACCCAAACCAAAACCCGAACAAAAGCCCGGACAGAAGCCCGAACCAGAACCCAAGCCCAAGCCAAUGCCAAAACCAAAGCCCGAGCCCUGCUCCAAACCAAAGCCAGAUCCUAAGCCCGAGCCGAUGCCGAAACCCGAACCAAAGCCGGAGCCCAAGCCUAAACCUGAACCGAAACCGAAGCCGCCUCCGAAGUGCAAAUCACCGGCAACACACAAUUGAUGGGAUAAUUAUAUAUGACACUUGACGAAGGAGACCUGGAAUGGAGCCACACUGUGUUAUUGUUAGAAUAAGUGGUGUAGUAUUCUCUGUAUUCACUUUCUUUUUAUUGUUCCAUGAGCGCGUGAUGAGUAUUAGAACUCUGUGAUUAUUAUUUUCUUGUUGCUAUAUGUUCAUCUACUUUGUAUGUGACCAGACUCGUUGUUCUUUUGAGUAUAAGUGCAUGAUUGUAUUCAUUCGCAUGAAUGAGCUAUGUUGUCCAGUGGGCUGCAGUCUAUUGUUGUUUUCUCUAUGGGGUGCAGUCGAUCUUUGUUAUUUUCUCUGUCGUAUUAUGUGGUCUUUUUUAGGGUGGGUGGGUGGGGGGGUAUACUCACACGCCAGGCAUCGGCCUUGUUCUCUACCCUCCACCUAUGAACUUAUGUCCCGAUUGAGUGUAUUCUGAGUUCUAAUCUUGCAGACCCUUCAUUUGUUUCAACGCCAGGCAUGUUGGCCCACCCCUGGACAUGACCGGAUCAUCUUGGGUGUUUUUUCUUCAAAAACAAAUUCAUUAAUGCAGAGUGCGUUGUCCAAUUAGAUGGUGGAUGAUGGAUUUCGAACCAACGUCCGUUGUUUCAACGCAGGGCAAGUGCAUUAUGAGGGUGGAUGCAUGUUAUAUUGUCUAACAACAUUCAAGUUUAAUUAUCUGUUACUAAAAAAUAAAUGAAAGAACAUGCGGUGCCCCCAUGUUUGGUUUUGGUAAUUGAUGACAAUCUCUAUGGACUAAUGGUUGCCUUGAGUUAUAUUUGAAGGAUUUGUCCAUAGGCAUUUCUUGAAGUCCAUGUGUUGGUUUCAAGGAGUUUAUGUGGUGACCAAGGUGUUAUUAAGGAAUUAUCCAAAGAUUGGUCAUGUGAGAGUUGAGCUUAUUGCAAGCAUGUCUUGAAGAAGAAGAUUGUGUGAUCAUUAAUGUUUACCUUCAAGACAUCAUCCAAAUGAAGAGAGUUGGAAAGAGUCAAGGUUGAUUAAGACUAAGUCAAGAGUGAAUCAAGUUGAUCAACACACAAAGCGCACAGGAUGUACCGAGGGAUCAAGCGAUCCCAUGGUAUGGUAAGCAUUGUCAAGUACGCUUUGUGUACUAACCCAUGGUCUUCGUGAGAGUUCUUUGUGGGGUUAGGUUGCGGUGUGCAAGUUCAAGUGAAGCGGGCAAGUUCAAGUAAAGCAUCACGAAGAGAUCAAAUGCUUGAAGCCAUUGUGGUGACAAUGGACUUGUGAAGACGUGCGGAAGGGUGGCUCACCCAUAGUGGAGUAUGGGGGAGCAAUCAACUAGUCUUCAUCGAGCCAACGCAAUUAAGAAAGGUGGUCCAUCUUGAGGGAGUCAAGAUCGUCAUCAUCUAGCUCAAGUGGACCAUGUGCAAGGCAAAGGUUUGCUCUUGAUAGGUUUUCUAUUUUACCGGUCUCGUGAUGGUAGUUGGGAGACCGGGUUAUAGGAUCGAUUGCCGUACUAUCAAGGGGGGCUGUCGAUGAGUAGCUUGAUCGUAUCGUUCAUAGAGAGCUCAAACCAUUGCAUCCUUACAUCAUCUUUGUUGGUUCUUGUUUGGUUCUUCUCUUUGUGAGUUUUGGAGCUUAUGGUCAUCUUGAUGACAAGCUCGAGUUCAUCGAAAACGGAGUUCACUCGCAUCUUCUAUGAUGUUUUCGAUGUUGGAGGUUAUGCCGGUUCUUCUCGGUUGGAGGUUUCACUCCUCUAUUUGUUGGCAUACCUCCCCUGCCUCUUCUUACUAUAACCAGUCGCUGUUUUGAUGCUACUCGUCGUCUUGUAUCCAACAAGCUUGAGUUUCCUCAAUUCGGAGCUCAUAUGAAGAAGUUUUGGCAGUUCUGUUUUUCUCCCUGCGGUAGUACCGCUUGUAGCGUCAAGCGGUAGUACCGCUCAAGUACCGCUCCAGUACCGCUCUACUACCACCUCGAUUUUGGGUCUGCUCUUUUCGUGUUGGGUUCAGCGGUAGUCGCGCGACAGUAAGGCACGGUAGUUCCGCCUAUAAGCGGUAGUACCGCUCCGAUCGAGCGGUAGUACCGCUACUGCACUACUGCCACCGUUCUCUACUCUGUCCUGCCUUCUUUUGUCCCGUGUUCUGCUCCUCCAGCGGUAGUACCGCUGGGGUGAGCGGUAGUACCGCUUAUCGGCGGUACUACCGUCCCAAGGUUCUUGUUUUGUUGCUCCUUUUCUCUGCUUCUUCCACCCGAGCGGUAGUACCGCUCGUGUGCGGGCUGAGCACUUAACGGUUGGAUUUUCCCCUUCCUAUAAAAGGGGGUCUUCUUCCCCAAUGAACCUUAUCCUUUGAGCUCGUGUUCUUUCCCCAUUGUUGACCUUCUUCGAGCUUGCUAACUCUCAAUCCCUCCAUGGAUUCUUGCUAGUUUUUGAGGGAAAAGAGAGAGGAGAUCUAGAUCCACAUUUCCACCAAUCACUUUCUCCUCUAUGUAAGGGGAACCCCUUGGAUCUAGAUCUUGGAGUUUUUGGUGUUCUCCUUCUUGUUCUUCCUCUCAUUUUCCUCCCUAGCAUUAGUUGCUUCGGUGGGAUUUGAGAGAGAAGGACUUGGGCACUCCGUGUGCCCUUGCCAUUGCAUUUGGUGCAUCGGUUUGAGUUCUCCAUGGUGAUACGUGGAAGUUACAAGUUGAGAAGCUUAUUACUCUUGGGUGCUUGGUACCCUUGAGCUUAUUCCUCUUGGGUGCUUGGGCGCCCUAGACGGUUGGUGGUGUUCGGAGCUCAAUCAUUGCGGUGCAAAGCUCCGGGCAAGCGUCGGGGUCUUCAAUUAGGUUGUGGAGAUCGCCCCGAGCAAUUUGACGGGUACCGGUGACCGCCCCCAAGGGUUGCCAAAGUGUACGGGUUCGGUGACCGCCCCCAAGGGUUGCCAUUUGUACGGGUUCGGUGACCGCCCUCAAGGGUCCCUUAGUGGAAUCACGGCAUCUUGCAUUGUGCGAGGGCGUGAGGAAAUUACGGUGGCCCUAGUGGCUUCUUGGGGAGCAUUGUGCCUCCACACCGCUCCAAACGGAGAUUAGCAUCCGCAAUGGUGUGAACUUCGGAAUACAUCGUCGUCUCCGCGUGCCUCGGUUAUCUCUUACCCGAGCUCUUUACUUAUGCAAGCCAUAUUGUUUCUUGUCAUAUAUCUUGUUGUCACCUAGUAGUUUGUCUUGCUUAGCAUAAGUUGUUGGUGCACAUAGGUGAGCCUAGUUGUUGUAGGUUUUGUGCUUGACAAAUUAACCGCUAGGUUUAUUCCGCAUUUGUUCAAGACUAAACCGUAAUUAUUUUAAAACGCCUAUUCACCCCCCCCCCCCUCUAGGCGACAUCCACGAUCUUUCAAUAAAUAAUUGAAAUACUGAGGUGGAGAGCUUGCAUGUGUUUCAUGAUGUGGAGGGCUUGCAUAUGGUGAAAAGUGAAAAGUUGAUUGGUUGCAUCUACUUGAUUUUUUUAACAUGGUACAGACGCAAGCGCUCAUAAAUGAACGCACACAUGCAUGCACACCCUACCCCUAGCAUCUCCGAGAGACUGAGCUGCCAUAUCAUCUUGAGAUUUUAUGAAGUCACCGUAGGCGCCUCGUAGUCGAGGGGAACAUCUCCUCCCACUGGAUGCGCAUCGCCGGUAAUCCUGAAAUAAAUCCGGACUUGAACCCUGGUGGACUGGGGAUACCACUGUCCUUCUAACUAUACAAUCACAGGUUGGUUCGGGGUUGCAUUUACCUGAUGACGUGAUUGACUUGCAUGUGCAUUAGUGAGACGACUUAUUUUGAUAUCGAGGAUAUAUGUGAAGAUAGUUACACCCUGUUGGCCGAGAUUACCAAGUAAAGGCACCAUGAAAAUUAUUUUAACAGAUUUUUCUUACUCAUAGUGAUUAUUUUUUUUAAAUGAUGACUUAUAUGAACAAUGAUCAUAUCCUUUACAAUAGAGGGGAUAAAGAAAUCAGGUGGCUUGUCAUGCCACACCAGCGAUUCACGCCCAAACAUUAACUUCUCUCACACAAUGAGAUAUAGUCACCUUGUCGAAAGCCUUAUCAACCUCAUGCAAUCAUCAUUUGUAACCGCUCCGGACGCUUGAUUCUUGGAAAAAUUCUGAAUAACUCGAACAAUUUCCAUAGAGUCACUUUCAGUUGCGAUAGAAAAGAUUCCCAGCUCCUCUACCAAGCGUAAGCCCAACAGGAGCGCAAGAGCUUCCAUUGACGGUGCAUCAAGCUAUGUUGCUUGAAUUCACACGUAGACUAUAUGAAACUCCCUAUAUGAUCUCUUAGGAUUGCCCCCCUCUCCCCUGCUCCCGAGUCCAUAUGAUAAGACGCAUUGAUGAUGUUCAAUUUUAUGCAUCCAGCAGCAGGUCGACUCCAACUCUUUGCACACUCAGGCAUUAGCUUCUUCUCGGGCAAACAAUGUUCAUCAUGAAUUUAAAAAAUGUUCGAACAUGUAUAAAAAUAUAUUCAAUGUGUAUUUGGAAACAGUUAAAAUUUAUUUGAAAAGGUUCAACAUUUAUGCAUUUUUCUAUUUCCUCAUUUUGUAACGUUCAAAAAUAAUGUUCACGAACUUUAAAAAGGUUUAAAAGCGUGUGAAUCCAUGUUUUUUUUAAAUUCAUGAACAUUAUUUUAAUGCAUGAGUUAUAUAAUCUAUAAAAAUAUGAAGUUGGUUUUAUUCCGAAACAAAGUACCUACUGGUUUUUAGCUGGCCAGCCGGUGAGCUAGAGAAGUGGCCGAGGAGAGCGAGUGCCCCAAUAGGUGUACGUUCCACGCCAGCGCGGUAGUGCUUGGCGACGCCUGAAGAACCAGAUAGGAGCUCCCCGUGAAAUGAUCAAAGGCCUUGAGAUGGAUAUUUUCCUGGGCCGCCUCCUAUUGAACUUCACUCUUUCCUUUGAAAGACAAAAGCACCCAUAAGAUGGUCAGCUAUUUUUAUUUUUAUUUUGCGGAAAAAAAAAAGAAAACUGCAUGAUGAACUAGAAGUACAAAACUAUGUGCUAGUUUCAAGUAUGUGAUGCUUGUUAUCUAGAAGUACAAAACUACCAUUCUCUCUAGUUGUUGUAUAUAUUCCUACAUCUAUAGGGUUUUUUAAGAAGAAAAAUAUACUUUUUUUAGAAUAAAAAAUAGGAAUAUGUUGGUACCAAGACGAUAUCAAUUACACCCCGGCAUCUGCAAAAGCACAACGUCAAGAGUUAUUCAAGAAAUUGAAGCUGCACACAACGUAAUUAUUUUUUAAAUAGAGAAAGGAAAAACAAUAACAAUAAUUACCAUUGUUAUGGUGAUUGGCGAUUUUAUGAGCCGUCCAUCCACCCUGAUCUAAUGAUGGGGAAAUAGGAGUUACGUGGAGUUACAAAACUAAAAUUACAGAAAAUUACCCACCGUUACAAAAUUGUAUUGGGACCGGUUGAUUUUUCCAAGGGUAAAUCCGUCACACGAUAGCUCGCGGUGCCCACAUCGAACCCACGUAUCUACCUAGCCGGCCACUCCGCCGCGGGGAUUAGGGAUCGCCACCGCAUGGCUCAGCCAUGGCCACGUCGCCGCCGUCCACCUCCGCCAUGGCCGGCCUAGCGCCGCCGUCCACGUGCGCCAUGACCGGCCUAGCGCCUCUGUCCACCUCCUCCGUGGCUGCCAUAGCGCCGCUGUCCACCUCCCCCAUGUCUGCCUCAGCGCCGCCGCCUGCCUCCACCGUGCUCAGCCCAGUGCCGUUGUUUACCUCGACCAUGGCCCCCAGCAGCUCUUCCCAUCACCAAUCCAUCCCCCUAUCCCACCAUUCCCAUCGCCAGCAAGGUCCGCCAGAAGAGGCCGACAUGAAUCCCCAAGAUCAAGAUCCAAGAGGACUAGAUGAUUGCAGCGUUAGAGAAGAAUUUGUAACAAUCUACAAUAAGGUAAACCCCCUCUUCCAAUUAGCAUAAAAGCUCCAAGUUCUCCCCUUUGUUCUCCAAUUAGCAUAUUCUCUGGAUGGUCUGCAGGUUCGAGUAGGAACACGAACACAUCAAUGAGGUCUUGUUUCAUUAGGAUGACAGAACACAUAAUCUGUACAAAUAGGAUGCAGUAUUUUCAUUUGCUGAGUUAAUGAAUAAGGUUUAGUUCAUGUUAUAGCAGAAUGGCAUGAAUCAUGAUACUGAUGUGCUUCCGUGGCAAACAUAAUUCUACAAAACUACAUAUGUGUACUAGAUAACAGGAGAUACAAGAGGAAUAUUACAAGUGUUGAAAAUUAACAGUAACUAGUAGGCUACAGAGUUUAUGUCACUAAAUUCAUAAUUGCAGAUCUAGCAUAAAAAUGAUUAGUAUAAGAAGUAAUAUUUUCUUCUCUUCAUGUACUCAAAAUGUAAAAGAAGUUAUCACUAGAAUUAUCCGAAGAAAAAAUAUUCUAAAUCAAAAGGAAAUGGUUGAGUCUCCAAGGAAAUAAGUGGUUAAAAGACAAGGAAAUCAUGUAGGUCGUAAUCUACAUUUCAAGUCAUACCUAGAAAUUAAGCAGUAGAACUGACUGAUUGGAAUCCUCUGAAACUAAAUACACCCAGUUUGCUAGACACAUUUAACCUGCUCACUUCAUUCUGCUUACAUUACUUCAUCUCCUCUGGUCUCUGCAUACUUUCCGAUGAAUUUCUAAAGCGGUCAGUACUGAAGUUGAUCUACUAUGAAGAUUUUAUAUUUAUGUCUCAAAAUUUCUGGUGCCUCUCGCUUCAUAAGAAAAGAUUAAAUCUCUCAUAUAUUACGUGUUUAUCUGGAAGCCGCUCCAUUCUUUGUUAUAUACUUCUGUUUAACCCAGUAUCACAUUAUAUAUGUACCGCUACUACUGUUUUCUAAAUGCAUUUACUUCGGCGUUCACAGAGUCUUUUGAGUAUGCUUUUAUUUCUGGAGGACGCAUCCUGAGUGACUACUUAGUAAGUUUUUCUUUUGUUUUUCACGGAAUUGAUUACCACAAUUAAUCUCAUAAUUUCUGUGUUUUUUAUUUUGCAGACCUAGACAGAUACGAACGCACAUCAUUAGAGCCUAGGGAGAAGAUCAAGGUAUAUGUGAUAAUUUAUAUUCCCUAGGAAAAUAUACAAUGGGGCUCGAGUCAACAUAUCCUUACCUGGGAAGAUAUUUGGCGGAAGCUCCUAGCUGUGAGAUAUCUGUAACACUUGUGUCGCCUUAUAUUGAAUAUUUUCAGUCGACCGAACGUUUCAAAGAUUUCACUAGUUGGUUUGCUGAAUCUGGAAAUGAUAUUUAGUUCUGAUUGAUGAUAGGUUGGCAUAUAUCUGUUUGUGUAUCCGUCCACUUAUUUUGCUUUUUUUAGGGCUACACUUGGUUUGCUAUAGAAAUUAGCUAAUUAUUCCUGUUGAGAAUUUGAUCACCUUUUCUCCAUUGAUCAAGUAUCUUCUCGUGGAGGUGUGGAUGAAGGACCCCUCCAAUGUGCAAAAAAUUGGCACAUGGAGCUGCCGGAGCCAGACGGCCCAGCCCCAUCGCCGACAGAAAAGCGCAGGAUGGUGCAUGGCGUCAUCAUCUAUGUUGGAUCAGUGGAGGAUCACAGCACCACGUUGAUAUGGAAAGAGAUGAUUUGGCGAAGAAAAGACCCAUCUACUUUGCAAUUACUAUACUUUGUCUAUAAGAAGUUACUGUACAUAUGCAUUUCCCUAUCAGUAUUCUGCAGCUAAACGAGGAAACUUGGUAUGUAUGAUUUGUCAUGAGUUGGAACCAGCAAGUGCUUCUUCCAUCUGUUCUUCAAUCUGUAGUCCAUAUUUUUUGCUUAUAACUAUACAUCAGUUCCUAGUUUAGACAGAGGCUGAACUUCUUGUUUCAAAACUUGGAGAACACUUGUGAUGCAGUGGCAACCCGCAGGGCAUAAACAAUCUACAUUAUAAUGUCACUGAAGGAAAUCACCUAAAAUAGAUACUACAACUCAAAGUUGUAUUAUCGACACUUAUGGGCCUGAACAACUAAGACUGAUACUUGUAAGCCUAUGAGCUCGAAAGAGUGAGGUCCAUACUUGUGAGCCCGAACGCCUCAGAGCUAUACUCCCUCCGUUUCUUUUUACUCCGCAUAUAAAGUUUGGUCAAAGUCAAACUACACGAAGUUUGACCAAAUUUAUAUCAAAAAAUAUAAACAUCUACAAUACUAAAACUAUGUAGUAUGAAAAUACAUUUCAUGAUGCAUCUGAUAAUAUUGACUUCAGAUUGUGGAUGUUGAUAUUUUUUAAUAUAAAGUUAGUCAAACUUUACAAAGCUUGACUUUGACCAAACUUUAUAUGCAGACUAAAAAGAAACGGAGGGAGUACUUGUGAGUCCGGACGACUAAGAGCAGUACUUUUAACCUCGAACAACUACGAUCGGUAGUUGUGAGCUCAGACGACUCAGAGAGUCGUACUUUUGACCUAGGACGACUCACGGUUAUUCGUAGUUGUGCGUGUGGGCCCUGACGACCCAUAGUGAUUUCUAGUGGUAUUUGUUGCUAAGUGUUAUUGAGAGUGACUAGUAGUGGUAUUGGUGGCCUGGAUACCGUAGAGGGGUAUGGGAUGGUAUUGGUGGCCCGGGCGAGCCAUAGUCGUACUUAUGGGCACACAACUAGCACUAUGGGUCGUUCGAUCCCACUACUAGCACUAUGGGUCAUUCGACCCCACUAGUAGCACCAUAUGGUUCGACUGAACCUAGAACUACAAUUAUGGGUCGUCCGAGUCAACAAACGCCACUAUGGGUCGUCCGAACCUAGAACUGCAAGUAUGGGCCAUCUGGGUCCACAAGCACCACUAGGGGUGGUCCGGUCCCACAAAUAAUGCUAUGGGUCGUCCAAUCCUACUACUAGCAUUAUGAGUCGUCUGAACCCAUAACUACCAGCAUGGGUUGUCCGGACCCACAAGUAGCAUUACCGGUCAUCCAGAUCGGUACUUGUGGACCUUGGUGAAGAUGAUUGAUACUAAUGAGCCCGAACGAGUAAGAUCGUUACUAGUGAGCCCGAACAAGUAAAUUCGGUACUUGUAGGCUCGGACUGCUAAGAUGGAUACUUGGCCCGAACCACUAAGAGAGAUACUUUGGGUCUGAAUGACUAAGAUCUGUUCUUGUGGAUCCAGACGACUAAGAUCGGUACUUAUGGACCCGGGUGAGUAAGAUCGAUACUAGUGAGCCCGAAUGAGAAAGAUCGGUACUAGUGAGCCUGAACGAGUAAGAUCGGUGCUUGUAGGCUCGGACUAAUAAGAUCAAUACUUGUGGGCCCGAACCACUAAGAGCGAUACUUAUGGGUCCUUUUAUGUUUGGUACUAGUGAGCCCGAACGAGUAUGAUCAUUCUUCACGCAGAGAGAACUUAAGAACGAGGAUGAUGUUGAAUGGUUUAUUAGUAGGCUUUAAGUUUUUGUUAGUAGGCUUUGAAUUUUUAUCUUCCAUCUUCGCGCGGGUCAGGAUGGAAGGUAUCCUUAGUGACAUUCACUUCAAGUUUUGUUCUCCAAAGGAUGGAAUGAUGUGAGAAUCUUUUUUAUCUAUGUUUCAAGUCGUCAUAUUAUAAUUUCCAAUAUGUCUCGAGUUCAACCUUCUCUCGAACUGAACCACUUUGUGAAUACUGGUUUUCCCUUCAAAUUUCCACUUAAAACACUGUUGCCUGCACAAACAUAUCAUUCACACUAAACUGGAACAUGCGUGUCUCCAACAGUGCUUUUACAUUAAACUGUACUUUUUCCUGAUAUGACAGUGUUAGCUUUAGUAAACUAUAGGUUGGAAGUGUGACAGUAUUUUAGUAAAACUUCUACUGAUGAUCGUCACCCAUUAACUCCACCUCCAGAUCCCAUGCCAAGAAAACUGCACAGAGGUGAAGGCUGGUGAAAAACGAGACAUGAAGCCUUUUUUUUCCGAUAAAGGGCGAUUUUAUUAUCUCAAAUGUAGCAUCAAGCGGAUACAAAACAUUAUGAGAAACACCCGGCCGCCUCCGCAUAACUAGAAUGCACACGGCCCAAUAUGAAGGUCUGACAAACAUUGAUGAAAAAAAAACCGACAAAUCGGCAACAGUAGAGCCCUUUUUGUCAGCUAAGUUUAAGUUGAUUCAGACAACGCUCGCAACAAAGGGAGAGGAUGAACAAUGAUUGCACUAUGUACCCUUUUUCAUUCAUGGACAUGAUAUGAGAGCAAUGCGGGUAUUCAUGGCCCCCAUUUUUUUCCUAGCUUUUAGACUGCACAGAGAAGUAAAAUUGUGCCAAGAACUACUGAUCAUUGUUGUCUGAAAACACGGGAGAAGAGAUCAGAGUUCAGAGAACAUCGUCAUCACCUGCAAAGGACAGAGGAUAAUUAGGAUCGAUUGACUAUAUCUUCCUGCAUACAACAUACGAAUAAAUAAUUGGUGUGAAUCAUGUGGCAGAUGAAAAAUCAACUCUUUUAUGUUGAAUUUCAAUCAUGUCGAUGCUAAAGUGUAACAUCAAAGCUAGUCGGUUCCCAGAAUUGGCCUCGGUCAAACAAGUAAAAUCUGGUAGAAAAGACAAUGAAUCAAAUAAUAGCGAACCCAUGCAAAACUAAGAAAAUUAUUGAGAAAAGCUGAACCCAUUACCCAUUUUUGUUCUAACAAGGAAAAUUAUGUCACUAAGAAAAUCAAUAAGGAGUCUAGCUAUUGCAGUGUCCUGCUAUGUAGCAUGCAAUCAACCAUUGAAGUUUUCAUCGAAACAGGUCACAUUCUUAAGCUGAUUGGAAGUAAUGAUCCUGAGAGGUCGAAUCCUAAAGGUCGGAAAUAGUGAUCAAUGAGGUGCUACAUGUCGGAAAUAUAGUACACUUCUUGCUUUUCACUCAUCCUACAGACCAGAAAUAAUGAUCAAUGAGAUGCUAGCUGCAGGAAAGUUUGUCACAACAUGAUAUUGACGGUAAUAUCGUAAUAAACUAUAAUUGGCAUGAACUCUGGGUGAUCCACACAGCUAUAGUAAGUUAGGUAGUAACCAAUUUAUUAUAGUUGCAGCGAGCACAAAGAGAAGCUUGUCCAACAUCGUCUGAGAUGGUUUGGGCAUAUUCAGCGCAGGCCUCCAGAAGCUCCAGUGCAUAGUGGACGGCUAAAGCGUGCGGAGAAUGUCAAGAGAGGGCGGGGUAGACCGAAUUUGACAUGGGAGGAGUCCGUUAAGAGAGACCUGAAGGAUUAGAGUAUCACCAAAGAGCUAGCAUUGGACAGGGGUGCGUGGAAGCUUGCUAUCCAUGUCCUAGAGCCAUGAGUUGGUUGCGAGAUCUUAUGGGUUUCACCUCUAGCCUACCCCAACUUGUUUGGGACUAAAGGCUUUGUUGUUGUUGUUGUAAGAGAAAAACAACUGGUUAUCAAUAACAGUGGCGGAUCUUAUAGAAUCUAUGCUUAGAAGCCAACUCUUGCAUGCUCUAACAGAUAAAUAGCAAAAUAAGGAAUUUCAUAAACAACAAAAAGCAUUAGAGACCGCUCGAUUAAACAUACAAAAGUCAAUGGUUAAUUAGUAUGUCAGGAAAUUAGGAUGACCGGACAUAUCUUGGAGAAUAUACUUGGUAAAUUAUGCAAUGCCUGUAUGGUAAAAAAUGUGGUUAGGACUAUGAGGGAAACAAUUUAGUGCACUUGUCUUUUUUGUCUAACAAUGUUCUUAUUUGUGCAAUAGCCCUAUCCAGAAACAAUGAGAUCCUUUUCUAGUUUUAUGGUAUUAAUAGUUGCUAGAUCAAAUAUAGUAGUUAAAUAUUCUUGAAAAUUCCUUAUGUUAGAGUGGAACCCUUGGAAAGUUAGUACUCAUGAGCUAGAUGAAGGGGAAGAAACUAAAGGAUUAACUGGGCAGAUAAGAGAUAAAUUGUGCAUAUAUUUCUAGUCAGUUGCGGGGAGGUCCAGAUCCAGUUGCUCCCAACCUCAUGAAGCUAACAAAAUGUUGCAGUCUCUGACCAAUGCCUCAUAUCUCUUGAUUAGUUGGGAUCUGCAGAUAGUAUUGAUAUGAUAACGGCAGAUGCAAGCAAUAUAAUUUCUUUACUACAAACAGAAGCGCAAUACCUUUUUUCGAUAAAGGGUGGAUUUUAUUACUCAAAACUAAGCAUCAAGAGGAUACAAACAUAGUGAGCACACACCCGGCCUCUGCAUAGCUAAGAUGCGCACAGCCAACACCAAUGCACACACAAAAACCGCCGGCAAGUAGCAAAGUCAUAUAAGACCAAAGCUAUGCCUAAGCGAGGAAAAAGAAAAACGCCCUGAAGCGGUCAAAAUCACGAUCGACAAACUACAACAAUGACCAUAUCCGCACCAACCAUCUCAUAACACCACAAGGACAAUGAUGUUCGUCAACAGCAACGCCUUCAAGAAGGGAGCGACGCUCGAGUGCCGCCGUCACUGGAACCAACCACCAAAGGCCAGUGUCUAGGUUUUCACCCUGAAGAAACAGUCCGAGCAUAUCCGAGCAAUGCCUUCAAUAAGGUAAUGAUGACAGAACAUCGUCAUUGCCAGGUAUAACCGUCAAGGGCCAGACCUAGGUUUUCACCCUGGAGCUUGAGACCAGGUACUCAAAAAGCAACACCAUCGGACUCAAGCAUGUGUUGUAUCCACCACUUUUCCGCAAUUCUAGCAGCUGCAUGUGCUGGGUUUGAAAACCGAUAGCAACCGAUGCGCAACCAUACCCUCUGCGUCAAGUCAUCAUCCAUAGAUUGCAUAUCACCGCCAAAGCGACCACUGGAUCUUGAAGAGUAUCACUCGCAAAGACCCUUUAGUGUCCAUCGCAAUCCGCCGUGAGGCCGCUGCCACGCUGGUGAGUUCAUCCUGUCUUGCCGCGAUCCGCACCCGCCGUGCCAAAAGCCUUGCGGAAGAGCAGCGGAGAAUCCUGAUCCAGUUGAGGACGCUAGGGCCUCGCGCCGCCAUCCCCAUGGCCAGAUGCGCUUAAGCUAGACCACGUCGACGACUCAAUGCAGUAGGCGCCCUACAUGCAACAGCCAAAGAUAUGAGCCCGGUCGCAUCUUUGUUAGGCGGUACCAGCUGCGAUGGAGGACUCUGAUCUUGAAACAGUUUGCAUCCAAGAUUCAGCCAAAGCAAGCCAGCCACGAUGGAGGAUCGUGAAACAAUCAGCAUCCAAGACGGCAAGUCAGCCCUGCGCCACCGGCACAGAACCGGGCCACCCUGCCACCAGGAGCCUAAACGGAUCAAUGUACAAGAGAAGACCAAACUGGCAAUAGCAGCUGGAGUUAUGUUGGAGACGGAGCAGUAAGGUCAUUCCAUGCUCAGGGCGUCCAAAAAAAAUGCUCAGGGCGUCUCCUUCCACCCCACCCUUGCCGUUGUACUCCACCAUGCUCCUCCACGUCCCCGAGGAUCCUGCACCGGGCGGCAUGCACGGCAGUGGAUGCAGCCUCGGUGCCUUCACCGUGGACCCGCUCACGCCGUUUCACGAUUCAUGAGGGACCUGGCGGGAGCGGGAGCGGAGAUUAAUCCGAGGGCCAAGGAGGAGACCUUCUGGGGAAGGGGCGCUGAUGGCGGGAGAAGCUGGAAGUCAUGGUCGGAGCCACUGGCAGGCGAAGUGGCGGCGGCCGCCGGCGGCUCUAGGGUUAGCAUCGCCCGCGAAAGAGGGAUGGACUCUGCGUGCCUCUGUCUUGGGCCUUGCUUGGCCUGGGCACGCUCGAUGCUUCAACGCGGGACAGAUAGGACCAUUAUACCCUUAUUAUUAAAAAAAAUACUUUAAGUGAGUUUUUCAGAUCUAACGGACAGAAAAUCUUGAGAUGAAGUUACGUGAAAUUACGAGGCGUAACUCGCCAAUCACCCUAAAAGAGCUCAACGAUAAUACACGCCGAGGGGCCACAACAAGCAGUCCCUUAUAUCAUAUCAUGCCUACCCACUAAACUCCUUUGAUACCAGCAAGAAGCGCAUAUCCGCAUAAAUGUGAUCACAUAUCACCAUAAAGCUCAUUGCCAUGAUAUUGGAAAUUUUGUUGUUCCUUUCACUCCAAAUGCGACAACCAACAAUAAAUCAAUCAUAGCGAUCAAGAAGAAGGGGAAUGAUUCUUGUUUUUUUUAUCUAUGUUUGUAGAGUGUACAACUUUAUGUUUAUGAUGUAUUGGGUUUUUUUCCUGUCUUAUUAAUGAAUGAAAGGCGCGCUAGAGAUGGCUGUGUCAACGCAGAGGCCAGGGUUUUCACCACCUUCAAAAAAGCAAGAAAGAAGGCAAUGCUGCUGCAUUUAGCUUAAAUUUACUAGAUCUGUUGGUUGGGUCGAUGAGGUACGUAGAAAUUAGUAAAAGGGACAUGUCAGGUUGACACGCAAAAGAAAAAGAAAAAGAAAAGCGUGAGCAGGGUGUAACGUACGGCACUCCAACCAUGCUAAUCGACUGAGAACAUACGCCGGACUGGAAUCCAUGCCCUACUGCUACAAUCAAAAUAAUUAGCGAGGGAGUGAUGGGUAGAAAAGUCCAUGGUGCAUGCAUGCUAUGGCAAACAGAUGGGGGGCCAUUUUCGUGUGCACCACUACGUCCUUAUGACAAGAGGGUACCUGUAGCUAGAGCUGGCUCGCCCUACUUACGUUACUCCACUACCGUCUUUGUCAUAUGUACUAUGUAUGCAAUGUCGGUCUGUACCUACCGGAAACUGCUCAGCACGCCACACAACAAUACAAUACAUACAGAUCACAUAUAUAGGAGUACAUCUUAGGUAUGGGUGCCCCUACAUAGACGUGUGGUGUGGCGUGAGCAAGGGACAAGGCAACUAACAGAUUUUCCCAUUUGCAACAGGGUGCAACUAAUAGAGUUGAAAUAUUGUUACCGGAUAUGUUGCUGUGCCGAUCCGCACACCCACCGGCGGCACUGGUUUACAGGGAUUGUGGCACACGCGUCCGGAUCUGAUUGGCUCCUCCGCCCUAUUAAACCACACCGUAUGUAUCUCCACUUCUCCACACAGAGCACACCCAUCCACCAUCCAUCCACGCUAGAAGCAGCGGCGAACAAGUGCACCCCUAGCUGCGAGCACAAGGAGCAGGCAGCAAUGGCGAGGCGUCGCCUCCUUGCCGUGCUUAUGCUCCUCGUCGUGGUAGUGGCAGCCUCCACUUUCCACCAAGCGGCCGCCGCUGGCCGAGGCCUUGCUGCCGUCGAGAAGUUUGCGGACCUGGAGCCAAAGCCAAAACCUAAACCAGAGCCAAUGCCCAAACAAAUGCCCAAGCCAGAACCCAAGCCGAUGCCUAAACCUGAACCGAAGCCAGAGCCCAAGCCCAAGCCAAUGCCCAAACCUGAACCAAAGCCAGAGCCCAAGCAUAAACCAAUGCCUAAGCCAGAGCCCAAGCCGGAACCUAUGCCUAAGCCGGAGCCCAAGCCUAAACCUGACCCGAAACCAGAGCCACCACCGAAGCACAAGCCGCCAACAGCUUACAAUUGAUGGGAUGCUAUAUAUGAAAACUGAAGGAUCGAGGAGAUCAUGGCCGGAGCCACAAUCACGAUAUUUCUAGAAUAAGUGGUGUAGUAACAAUGUCAUUCUAUCCGGCUAGCUCCAUAGUGAUGCAUCUUUCUGUAUUCUAUGUAUUUCGUUACAUUUACAAAGUUUCUGUUCCAUGCACCCAUGAUGAGUAUUACUACUUUGUAAUUGUUAAUUUGCUUGUUGGUGUACGUUCAGUUUUGUACGUGACUCGUUGUUCUAUUUGUGUAUCUAUAUGCAUGAUUCUAUUCAUUCGCAUGAAUGAGUUAUUUUGUCCAGAG